GGAUAACGUCACUUUUUUACAUGGUAUCAAUUGACAAUUGAUGCUAUGGGACGUACGCGCAAGCGCAGACGGCAUAUGACAGAUUUUAAUUACAUGUUUUAACGUUGUUUUCUGUCAGUUUCAUUAGAAUGGAGAUAACAAUAUUGUAUUUUAAGCUCAGACGGCAUCAAUUGAGGAUUUGAUGGUCACAAAUGCCCGUUUACUGUCUCCGCUAACGCGUCGCCAGUAAACUGAAUUUG
Molecule: long non-coding RNA, 239 nt
Filed under: Mytilus galloprovincialis (Mediterranean mussel)
Lineage: Eukaryota; Metazoa; Mollusca; Bivalvia; Mytilida; Mytilidae
Source: RNAcentral